RNAcentral lists this ribosomal RNA (253 nucleotides) under uncultured bacterium. RNAcentral's name for it is "partial 16S ribosomal RNA". It matches the Rfam family "Bacterial small subunit ribosomal RNA", at positions 524 to 776 of the family's 1533-position model. The record is from RNAcentral.
UACAGAGACUGCAAGCGUUAUUCGGAUUCACUGGGCGUAAAGGGUGCGCAGGCGGCCGGGUGUGUCAGAUGUGAAAUCCCGAGGCUCAACCUCGGAACUGCGUCUGAAACUACUCGGCUAGAGUAUUGGAGAGGGUAACGGAAUUCACGGUGUAGCAGUGAAAUGCGUAGAUAUCGUGAGGAACACCAGAGGCGAAGGCGGUUACCUGGACAAUUACUGACGCUCAGGCACGAAAGCGUGGGUAGCAAAAGGG